UACGUAGGUGGCAAGCGUUGUCCGGGUUUAUUGGGUUUAAAGGGUGCGUAGGCGGCUUUGUAAGUCAGUGGUGAAAUAUGGCAGCUCAACUGUCAGGGUGCCAUUGAUACUGCGGAGCUUGAGUACAGAUGAGGUAGGCGGAAUUGACGGUGUAGCGGUGAAAUACUUAGAUAUCGUCAAGAACACCGAUAACGAAGGCAGCUUACUAGGCUGUAACUGACGCUGAGGCACGAAAGUGUGGGGAUCAAACAGG
Molecule: ribosomal RNA, 253 nt
Filed under: uncultured bacterium
Lineage: Bacteria
Description: partial 16S ribosomal RNA
Rfam family: Bacterial small subunit ribosomal RNA
Source: RNAcentral